GCUAGCCCAGCUGCCACCAGGGCCACCUGGUGGAGGAGGGGGAGUUUGGCUGCCCCAUAGCUUGAAUUCCUUUAUUAACAUGAUAUUGGUUUGCAUUUUCUUUAAAUACAGCUCUUUAAUUUUUCAGUUCUACAACUACUUUUUAAUAUCUUAAUAAUCUUGACAAUGGACAAAAUGUAACUGCCCCAAUUCUCUGAACCACACAGACAAUAUUGACAAGCAGAGAAACAGAGAGGAGGGUGGGAUGGGACAAAAAUCUGCUCCCCCGAAAUCAAUCCUAAAACCACCUCUCCCCAAGAGUCACAGGAGAAAUACCUACAACAGGGUCACAGCACUUGCCAAACACAUUGGGGAAAAAUCAGGAGACACUUGGUUACAGAUUUGACACUAAAAAGUUUGGAAACAGUUUUUGCUUAAAAAGAGUAAGUAAAGAAGCCAUUUUGUUCAGAAGGAUUUCCUUGUAUGUUUUUUUUCUUGCCCAAAUAUUCCCUUAGUUCAUAUGGGGGAAACUCCAGAUUCUUCUUAAAUACUUCUUUGAAUGUUUCAAGUCACUGUCCUGAGAAGCCCAGGGACCGGCAGUGAUGACGGGUUGGCCUCGCAGGCUUUGCAAAGGCAGCAUGCCGCACUGCUUCUCGUCUCUCUUCUCAUCACCUUUCCCAUAGUUUUGAACUCUUGCAGGUCAGGAGAUGGGGGUGGGGACGCAGACAUGAAAGUUACUGAUAUUGCUGACACAGGGUCCACUGUAACUUUGGAGGUGCCAUGUGAGGGUCACACUCUAUGUGGUGACAUAUUCCUCAAUUUGCUCUUUCCUCAACGAACCCACAGGUAGCCAGUGGGCCUAUGCUUAAGUAAUGGAGCCAAACAGGAGGGCAGGAGGGUUCUGGGAUCAGCAGGACUCUCUAGCAGCCAAUCCAAAUGCCAAUCCUGACCAUCCACAGGGGAGGGAUUAGUUCAGCAGUUGACUAAAACUUUGUGAUGACUUCCUCUUCUCUCACUCUAAGGAGUGGGUGAGCCAAGGAGCUCCUCAUGGAAAACGAAACAGGCUUUUAUCAACAAAAAGUGCCAAGUCACAUUGCCACUAUUGACACUGAAGGGCCCAGUCUGCUUU
This 1108-nucleotide long non-coding RNA is filed under the name Equus asinus (donkey). RNAcentral describes it as "lncRNA (ENSEASG00005024780.1)". Lineage: Eukaryota; Metazoa; Chordata; Mammalia; Perissodactyla; Equidae. The record is from RNAcentral.